This 422-nucleotide ribosomal RNA is filed under the name uncultured bacterium. Its description in RNAcentral is "bacterial SSU rRNA". It matches the Rfam family "Bacterial small subunit ribosomal RNA", at positions 355 to 774 of the family's 1533-position model. The record is from RNAcentral.
UGAGGAAUAUUGGUCAAUGUGCGAGAGCCUGAACCAGCCAAGUCGCGUGAAGGAAGAAGGUUCUAUGGAUUGUAAACUUCUUUUGUAAGGGAAUAAAAAGAGUUACGUGUAACUUAUUGUAUGUACUUUACGAAUAAGGAUCGGCUAACUCCGUGCCAGCAGCCGCGGUAAUACGGAGGAUCCAAGCGUUAUCCGGAUUUAUUGGGUUUAAAGGGUGCGUAGGCGGGUUUUUAAGUCAGUGGUGAAAGUUUGCAGCUCAACUGUAAAAUUGCCAUUGAAACUGGAGACCUUGAGUGUAAAUGAGGUAGGCAGAAUGUGUUGUGUAGCGGUGAAAUGCUUAGAUAUAGCACAGAACACCAAUUGCGAAGGCAGCUUACUGGGAUACAACUGACGCUGAGACACGAAGGCGUGGGGAUCAAACA